CAGCCGCCGCGGUAAAACGGAGGGUGCAAGCGUUAAUCGGAAUUACUGGGCGUAAAGCGCACGCAGGCGGUCUGACAAGUCAGAUGUGAAAUCCCCGGGCUUAACCUGGGAACUGCAUUUGAAACUGUCAGGCUGGAGUCUUGUAGAGGGGGGUAGAAUUCCAGGUGUAGCGGUGAAAUGCGUAGAGAUCUGGAGGAAUACCGGUGGCGAAGGCGGCCCCCUGGACAAAGACUGACGCUCAGGUGCGAAAGCGUGGGGAGCAAACAGGAUUAGAUACCCCUGUAGUCCCUGUCUCUUAUAA
Molecule: ribosomal RNA, 301 nt
Filed under: uncultured bacterium
Lineage: Bacteria
Description: partial 16S ribosomal RNA
Rfam family: Bacterial small subunit ribosomal RNA
Source: RNAcentral